UACGUAGGGUGCAAGCGUUGUCCGGAAUUAUUGGGCGUAAAGAGCUCGUAGGCGGUUUGUCGCGUCUGCUGUGAAAACUCGGGGCUUAACCCCGGGCCUGCAGUGGGUACGGGCAGACUAGAGUGCGGUAGGGGAGACUGGAAUUCCUGUUGUAGCGGUGAAAUGCGCAGAUAUCAGGAGGAACACCGGUGGCGAAGGCGGGUCUCUGGGCCGUAACUGACGCUGAGGAGCGAAAGCAUGGGGAGCGAACAGG
RNAcentral lists this ribosomal RNA (253 nucleotides) under uncultured bacterium. RNAcentral describes it as "partial 16S ribosomal RNA". It matches the Rfam family "Bacterial small subunit ribosomal RNA", at positions 524 to 776 of the family's 1533-position model. The record is from RNAcentral.